RNAcentral lists this unclassified non-coding RNA (383 nucleotides) under uncultured bacterium. Its description in RNAcentral is "contains 16S-23S intergenic spacer region". The record is from RNAcentral.
UCCGGUUUGACACCGGCAGUCUCGCUAGAGUCCUCACCAUUACGUGUUAGCAACUAGCGACAAGGGUUGCGCUCGUUAAGGGACUUAACCCGACACUUCACAGCACGAGCUGACGACAGCCAUGCAGCACCUGUGUACGUUGUACCCUUGCGGGCCUCAUUCCUGUUUCCAGGAACUAAUCCGUACAUGUCAAACCCGGGUAAGGUUCUUCGCGUUGCUUCGAAUUAAGCAACAUGCUCCACCGCUUGUGUGAGCCCCCGUCAAUUCCUUUGAGUUUUAAUCUUGCGACCGUACUCCCCAGGCGGAAUGCUUAAAGCGUUAGCUGCGCCACUAGUGAGUAAACCCACUAACGGCUGGCAUUCAUCGUUUACGGCGUGGACUAC